UAGAAAGCCUCGAGACAAAGCAAUCUCUUA
Molecule: non-coding RNA, 30 nt
Filed under: Mus musculus (house mouse)
Lineage: Eukaryota; Metazoa; Chordata; Mammalia; Rodentia; Muridae
Source: RNAcentral